Molecule: ribosomal RNA, 504 nt
Filed under: Triticum aestivum (bread wheat)
Lineage: Eukaryota; Viridiplantae; Streptophyta; Magnoliopsida; Poales; Poaceae
Description: partial small subunit ribosomal RNA
Source: RNAcentral
AUGCAGCAAGAGCUUGCCGCCCUGGCGUACCAGUCGGCCGGUUUCGUCGGCCUCCCCACGUCCUACCUGCCGCCGCACCCGCACGACGUCGAUGUCGACCUCGUCGACGGGUGGUUGGUCGGCGGCAGCGCCGGGGCUGGCGACAAUGGCCACGGCCCGCCGUCGUGCGGCAGCGGCCUGAGCCACGUCGCCGGCGCCGCCGCGGCAGUGAGCGAGACGAGGAAGGCGAGGCGGCUGGCGUCGAACCGCGAGUCGGCGCGGCGGUCGCGGAUGCGGCGCCGGAGGCAGCUGGACGAGCUGUCGGCGUGCGCCGCGGAGCUGCGCGCGGCCAACCAGCGGCUCGUCGUGGAGCUCAACCGCGCCGAGGCCAGGCACGCGCAGGUGGCCCGGGAGAACGCGCGGCUCCGGGAGGAGCUGCGCCGCCUGCGGGAGAGGCUCGCCGCCGAGGAGGAGACCACCGAUCGAGACGCCGGCGACGAGGCCGCUGCCGCAAGAACGCCGUAG